Molecule: ribosomal RNA, 669 nt
Filed under: Munidopsis erinacea
Lineage: Eukaryota; Metazoa; Arthropoda; Malacostraca; Decapoda; Munidopsidae
Description: partial 12S ribosomal RNA
Source: RNAcentral
AACCAGGAUUAGAUACCCUAUUAUAAUUGGUUAGAACUUCUUGAUCAUUAAUAGAUAUAAUCUUUAAAAUCAAAGAAUUUGGCGGUAUUUUAGUCUUUUUAGAGGAACCUGUUUAAUAAUCGAUAAACCCCGAAUAAUUUUACUUAUUUAAACCAAUUUGUAUACCGUCAUUAUUAGAUAACUUUUACAGGAUUUUAGAUGUUGAAAUUUUUAUGAAAAGUAUAUUAGAUCAAGGUGCAGUUAAUAAAUAAGAAUAAAUGGGUUACAAUAAAAUUUUUUAAAAAUUUACGGAACUUAGCUGUGAAGCAAGCUAGUGAAGGAGGAUUUAAUUGUACUCUUUUUUUAAUAAGAAAAGUUGAUAAUUAGCUCUAAAAUAUGUACAUAUCGCCCGUCGCUAUAAUCGAUACACCACGCAGUAUCUUACUUAUUUUCUAAGCUUGUAUACCAUCAUUAUUAGAUAACUUAUAGAUAAAUAGUUAUUACAAUUAUAAGCUAAAUAUAUUAGAUCAAGGUGCAGCCGAUAAAUAAGAAAAAAUGUGUUACAAUAAUGCUCAUUAUACGAAAUAUUAUAUAAAAUUAUAAUAUAAAGGCGGAUUUAAUUGUAGGUAUUAUUUAAUAUAUUAUAUCGACAUUGGCACUAAAACAUGUACAUAUCGCCCGUCGCUAACU